Molecule: small nucleolar RNA, 133 nt
Filed under: Nipponia nippon (crested ibis)
Lineage: Eukaryota; Metazoa; Chordata; Aves; Pelecaniformes; Threskiornithidae
Description: Small nucleolar RNA SNORA71
Rfam family: Small nucleolar RNA SNORA71
About the family: The members of this family belong to the H/ACA class of snoRNAs which bind a number of proteins (including dyskerin, Gar1p and Nop10p) to form snoRNP complexes.
Source: Rfam by way of RNAcentral
ACCUGCAUUCGCAAGGGGUUGAGGUCUCACCCGUGACUCAGUUGUUGUUAGUGCAGGGAGAGGAGCUCCAAAAGCGUUUCCCGUGUUUGGUGGGUUCAAUCCCGUCCCUUCCAAACCCUGUAGCCUUCAGACA